This 360-nucleotide ribosomal RNA is filed under the name uncultured eukaryote. Its description in RNAcentral is "partial 18S ribosomal RNA". It matches the Rfam family "Eukaryotic small subunit ribosomal RNA", at positions 592 to 976 of the family's 1831-position model. The record is from RNAcentral.
CAAUAGCAUAUAUUAACGUUGUUGCAGUUGAAAAGCUCGUAGUUGAACUUUUGGUAGGAGCGACCUGGCCUUGGGCGCAUGCCCUUGUUUGCCGUGUGUCGUGUCUGGCCAUCCUUUUCCGCUUCGGCGGGAAUCUUUUACUGUGAGUAAACUGGAGUGCUCAAAACAAGACGUUUGUUUGGUACAUUAAAGCAUGGAAUAAUAAGAUAGGACCUGGUUACUAUUUUGUUGGUUUGCAUAGCUAGGUAAUGAUUAACAGGGACAGUUGGGGGUAUUCGUAUUUAAUUGUCAGAGGUGAAAUUCUUGGAUUUAUGAAAGACGAACGACUGCGAAAGCAUUUACCAAGGAUGUUUUCAUUAA